AGGUGUUGGAAGGGAGAGCUGAACCUGAGCCUCCCCAGGCCCAGCAGGGGUCCACGUUGUCCCGGCUCACCCGAAAGAAGAAAAAGAAAGCCAGAAGGGAUCAGACCCCAAAGGCGGUUCCGCAGCACUUGGACGCCAGCCCCGGUGCCGAGGGGCCUGAGAUCCCCCGUGCCAUGGAGGUGGAGGUGGAGGAGCUGCUGCCGCUGCCAGAGAAUGUCCUGGCGCCCUGUGAAGAUUUCCUGCUUUUCGGUGUGCUCUUCGAGGCCACCAUGAUCGACCCCACCGUGGCCUCCCAGCCCAUCAGCUUCGAGAUCUCCAUUGGUGUGUGGCCUAGCCGAACCCCUGAGUGCCAUUUCAGACCUUAGAACCCUGGAAGGGGUGUUGACUUUCAGUAAGGGGCAGGUUCUGACUUCUGUUGAGGCAGAGGUGGUUGAGGGGGGGUUCCAGCCCUCAGCCUGGCGCCCACUGACCCUUGCUGCUCUGGGGCAGGUCGCGCAGGCCGUCUGGAGGAGCAAUUGGGCCGAGGGUCCAGGGCUGGGGAGGGAACUGAGGGUGCAGCCGUGGAGGCUCAGCCUCUGCUGGGAGCCAGGCCAGAGGAGGAGAAAGAGGAGGAAGAACUGGGGACCCAUGCUCAGCGGCCUGAGCCCAUGGACGGCAGUGGGUGAGUGCUGCCGGUGGCUGGAAGGGGGGGUUUGGGAGGUCUCCAGGAACCCAGAAUGCCCG
Homo sapiens (human) is the source of this 723-nucleotide long non-coding RNA. The record is from Ensembl. Lineage: Eukaryota; Metazoa; Chordata; Mammalia; Primates; Hominidae.